Molecule: ribosomal RNA, 1088 nt
Filed under: Salmonella enterica subsp. enterica serovar Agona str. 01.O.05
Lineage: Bacteria; Pseudomonadati; Pseudomonadota; Gammaproteobacteria; Enterobacterales; Enterobacteriaceae
Also listed under: 1 other name
Description: bacterial SSU rRNA
Rfam family: Bacterial small subunit ribosomal RNA
Source: RNAcentral
AGGCCUAACACAUGCAAGUCGAACGGUAGCACAGAGAGCUUGCUCUCGGGUGACGAGUGGCGGACGGGUGAGUAAUGUCUGGGAAACUGCCUGAUGGAGGGGGAUAACUACUGGAAACGGUGGCUAAUACCGCAUAACGUCGCAAGACCAAAGAGGGGGACCUUCGGGCCUCUUGCCAUCAGAUGUGCCCAGAUGGGAUUAGCUUGUUGGUGAGGUAACGGCUCACCAAGGCGACGAUCCCUAGCUGGUCUGAGAGGAUGACCAGCCACACUGGAACUGAGACACGGUCCAGACUCCUACGGGAGGCAGCAGUGGGGAAUAUUGCACAAUGGGCGCAAGCCUGAUGCAGCCAUGCCGCGUGUAUGAAGAAGGCCUUCGGGUUGUAAAGUACUUUCAGCGGGGAGGAAGGUGUUGUGGUUAAUAACCGCAGCAAUUGACGUUACCCGCAGAAGAAGCACCGGCUAACUCCGUGCCAGCAGCCGCGGUAAUACGGAGGGUGCAAGCGUUAAUCGGAAUUACUGGGCGUAAAGCGCACGCAGGCGGUCUGUCAAGUCGGAUGUGAAAUCCCCGGGCUCAACCUGGGAACUGCAUUCGAAACUGGCAGGCUUGAGUCUUGUAGAGGGGGGUAGAAUUCCAGGUGUAGCGGUGAAAUGCGUAGAGAUCUGGAGGAAUACCGGUGGCGAAGGCGGCCCCCUGGACAAAGACUGACGCUCAGGUGCGAAAGCGUGGGGAGCAAACAGGAUUAGAUACCCUGGUAGUCCACGCCGUAAACGAUGUCUACUUGGAGGUUGUGCCCUUGAGGCGUGGCUUCCGGAGCUAACGCGUUAAGUAGACCGCCUGGGGAGUACGGCCGCAAGGUUAAAACUCAAAUGAAUUGACGGGGGCCCGCACAAGCGGUGGAGCAUGUGGUUUAAUUCGAUGCAACGCGAAGAACCUUACCUGGUCUUGACAUCCACAGAACUUUCCAGAGAUGGACUGGUGCCUUCGGGAACUGUGAGACAGGUGCUGCAUGGCUGUCGUCAGCUCGUGUUGUGAAAUGUUGGGUUAAGUCCCGCAACGAGCGCAACCCUUAUCCUUUGUUGCCAGCG